UUUAUCAAAAACAUGUUUUAUUGAGUAUAAAUAAUAGGUUUGUUCUGCCCAUUGAAAAUAAUUUAAAAGGCUGCAGUAAGUUAACUGUACAAAGGUCGCAUAAUCAAUAGUUUUUUAAUUGAAAACUUGAAUGAAAGAAUUAAUAAAAUAUAUAUUGUCUUAAAUUUAAAAAAUUGAAAUUAAAAUAAAAGUUAAAAUUCUUUUAUGGAUUUAUUAGACGAUAAGACCCUAAGAAUUUUAUAAUAAAUUUAUUUUAUUAAAAAUAUUAAUUUUUAAUUUUUUAUAAUAUUAUUUUAUUGGGAGGGUAAUUAAAAAAUUUAAACUUUAGUUUUUAUUAAACUUUGAUAAAAGAUUGUAUUUUAUGAUUAUUAUUAUAAUUGUAAGAAUAAAUUACCUUAGGGAUAACAGCGUAAUAAUUUUGGAAAGAUCAUAUUUAUAAAAUUGUUUGCGACCUCGAUGUUGAAUUAAAAUAAAAAUUAAAUGGAGAUAUUUAAAAUUUUAGUCUGUUCGACUAU
Molecule: ribosomal RNA, 515 nt
Filed under: Mischocyttarus nr. collarellus TKO-2011
Lineage: Eukaryota; Metazoa; Arthropoda; Insecta; Hymenoptera; Vespidae
Description: partial 16S ribosomal RNA
Source: RNAcentral